AAAGGCUUAGUAUAUUUUUGUAUGAUUCUUUGUCAAAGGGUAGGUUUAGCUUUUGG
This 56-nucleotide transfer RNA is filed under the name Parafilaroides normani. RNAcentral describes it as "tRNA-Asp". Lineage: Eukaryota; Metazoa; Nematoda; Chromadorea; Rhabditida; Filaroididae. The record is from RNAcentral.